Molecule: ribosomal RNA, 252 nt
Filed under: uncultured bacterium
Lineage: Bacteria
Description: partial 16S ribosomal RNA
Rfam family: Bacterial small subunit ribosomal RNA
Source: RNAcentral
UACGUAGGGGGCAAGCGUUAUCCGGAUUCAUUGGGCGUAAAGCGCUCGUAGGCGGUCUGUUAGGUCGGGAGUUAAAUCCGGAGGCUCAACCUCCGUUCGCUCCCGAUACCGGCAGACUUGAGUUUGGUAGGGGAAGGUGGAAUUCCUAGUGUAGCGGUGGAAUGCGCAGAUAUUAGGAAGAACACCAGUGGCGAAGGCGGCCUUCUGGGCCAUAACUGACGCUGAGGAGCGAAAGCUAGGGGAGCAAACAGG